UAAGCCAAAAAAGCAGCUGCGAAAGCUGUAGCUAAAGCCGGAAGCCAGAUCUCCAGCUCUGUGGCCUGAGAGACAUACCACUGCCUUAACAGGGCAGCCGGCGUUUCCCCGAGUGAAGGGCAAGCACUGGCUGACACUGGUGGCUUCGACCCGACGUGGCUGACACUGGUGGCUUCAACUUGACGUCAUCGCGGCCCUACAGCGCUGGUGGCGGCGUCCAGCUGCAGAAAGGGGACAAGGGCUCGUGUCAAGCAAUAGGCUUCUUCUUGCUUUCCUGCUUCAGUGAAUGCCUGCAAGAGAAAAUCUGGUCAUUUAAAAGGCCACAGAGUUACACUGCAAAGGUGAAGCUUGUGCCAAACAGUUUUUGAGAAGAGUGGCAACAGUAAGUUCUAGUUAAUGGUAUUUAGUUAAAGGUAUUUAGUUAAAAAUAUGUUAUUUGUAAUUCAUAUAUCAUAAAUUACACUGCAUUUGUACCUUUGGAAUUAUUUAGGGACAAUUACAAAGAACAGAUGCCUGCUCUUAAAACCUAAAGAUGUUUUGACACCUAAUGCCUUAUGUGUGUAAUUUUAAUUGAUUUUUAUUAUUGUACAUCCUUACUCCAGUAAGUCAUUGUCUUCAGUCCGACUGCUUAUUGAAUGAAAGAUAGUCAUUGUGUAGGGAUAUUCAGAAUAUAAUUUUGUUACUAAUACAUGAAUGACACUGGAAAACAGAAGAUUGAGAUUUAGC
RNAcentral lists this long non-coding RNA (726 nucleotides) under Dromaius novaehollandiae (emu). Its description in RNAcentral is "lncRNA (ENSDNVG00000000585.1)". The record is from RNAcentral. Lineage: Eukaryota; Metazoa; Chordata; Aves; Casuariiformes; Dromaiidae.